AUACGGAGGGUCCAAGCGUUAUCCGGAUUCAUUGGGUUUAAAGGGUGCGCAGGCGGGCUUGUAAGUCAGUGGUGAAAUACUGCCGCUUAACGGUAGAACUGCCAUUGAUACUGCAAGUCUUGAAUAUGGUUGAGGUAGGCGGAAUGUGUUGUGUAGCGGUGAAAUGCAUAGAUAUGACACAGAACGCCAAUUGCGAAGGCAGCUUACUAAGCCAUUAUUGACGCUGAGGCACGAAAGCGUGGGGAGCGAACAGGAUUAGAAACCCCAGUAGUCC
RNAcentral lists this ribosomal RNA (274 nucleotides) under uncultured bacterium. Its description in RNAcentral is "partial 16S ribosomal RNA". It matches the Rfam family "Bacterial small subunit ribosomal RNA", at positions 523 to 796 of the family's 1533-position model. The record is from RNAcentral.